Molecule: long non-coding RNA, 4183 nt
Organism: Sarcophilus harrisii (Tasmanian devil)
Lineage: Eukaryota; Metazoa; Chordata; Mammalia; Dasyuromorphia; Dasyuridae
Source: Ensembl
GGGGACUUUUACAAUCUCAAUGAGAUGAAUACUUAAUAUCAGGAUUGACCUAUUCCAGAGCCUGGGAUUUUUUAUAUUUUACAUAGGGCCUGUAGUUCAUGCUGUUCAAACUAAAGUUUGAGGAGCACCAAAAAACGAGACGCAUAAUAUUCAAAAGUAUAUGCUGCAAGGGACAUUCUGCAUUUUUUAUUGGGGUUUAUUUUUUUUUAAAGGAAAUAUUGAAUAAAGUUGGCAAUUGAGAGGCAUUAUUUGAUUUUUGUUUUAUAAAGAGAUAUUUAGACCAACUCCCAGACUUUUCUACCUUGAACUUGCAUUCUCAUUGACAUAAAACAGAUGAACUCUUCUCCAAUUCUUAUAAAGAGCCAAUACUCAUAUCACCAGACUUUUUUUUUUACCUUGAACCUGCAUUAUCAUCACUGACAGGAAAAAUGAACUCUUCCCCAAACUAGCACCUCCAGAGUGAUUACAAUUACUUCCUGAGGGCUUGGUAACCUCAGCAGUUUUUUUUCGCCUCUUUGCAUUUCUUUACCCUCUAGGCUGCCAUAUCAGUUUUAUGCUCCAGAAUAAUAUUUUAAAAUAAUGAAAAGUUGAAAAGAAACAGAUGCUACCUCCCUCCUCUGACCUCAUCCCAAACUGUCUCCACUUCCACCUUCAGGUCCCUAUCACCGGGCUUUCUGGCUUAAGGCAACAGUCCUAUGCUACAUUAUUUUUUUUUUUUUUUUUGAGAAGAAAUUCUAAUUAAAGUAAUUUCAACUUGGGCUUGCGAAUUAAAACAGACAUCUUUUAUAACAACUCAGAGAGGCUAUAUAAACCUCUGGAAUGGAAGAACAUUUGAUUAGGUAGGGUUAUAGAUUCUAUUUCAUUCAGUCUAGUGCUAGGCUAUUCCUCUAUCUGACUAAGAAUUGAUCUCACAUCCAGGAAAGCAUAGUCCUCAUAGUGAAAUCAUUGGCAAUAGUUCUGCUAACAUAAUAGAUGAACAAAAACAAAGUAAUCCACUACAAAAACCCAAGCUCUAGGACUCACUGUUAUACAUGCCAUUUGACUUCUAGAAAUGGAUAUGGUAUUCAAUAUAAUUCUUCUGACAUCUUAAAAACAAACAUUCAUUUUUACCACCUAGUGAUUAGAAACCAUGCUUUGGGUAGAUCAUAUUUUUUAUGGAUAAUGUUUGCAUGAAUGCUAGGUUGCUAAAGCUUUUACUUAUGGAGAUAUAGGCAAAGUCAAAAGUGGCACAUUUAUACUUGAGAAUCUCAAAAUGUCUUGAUCUCUAGGGCAGUGCUGUUUCCAGCCAGGAUUAUAUUGUCUUUGUUGCCUAAGCACCAGGGUGUAGACUGGCUUUUGAAAGUCUGCACCAAAUAAAACUCCCUACCCCACCCCCCAAUCAGGAAAAAACAAGCCUCCCCCGCACACUUUAAAAAAAAUGAAAUGAAGAAAGGAGAAGGAGAGAUGGUUAUAUUUUUAGAGAGAUAUUUAUCCAGGUAGGAUUUGACGCUGCAAUAUGGUAAAGUCAGGGGACCAGUUCAGAGUUUUGGAGAUUAGAUCUACUUUGAAUUUCUUUACCGCCCUCUUUAUAAUUCCAUUCUAAUAUGUGUGUGUCUUAGGACUUCUUCCUUUAAGUACAAUUCUUCUCAGGUGAGUAAGGUUGCUAGAAGACAGCUAAUAAAAAAUAUACUUAUCUGGAAAUGCCAAGAGAUCUUUUUGAGGGUUUUCUACCAAACUUUCCAGUUCUUCCUGUAGAGAGUUGUUAUUUCUUUUUGGUCUCUACAGAAUAAAGAGAUGAAUUAUUUCUGGAUGAUGCCUACAUUUUGAAAUAUCUUCAAUCCCUUUUCCAUCACCCCAUUUCACAACUUGUUUCUAUCUUUAAAAAAAUCUAUUACAAAAGUUCACUAAUAUGUUAGAUCUCCACCAGAAGGUAGGCCUCUUUAGUCUUCCUAAUCUCAUCACAUUCCAAAUGGACUCCUGUAUAAAAACCUGGUGCAACAUCAUUGUAUUGCUGUCUAUUCUGGAUAUAUAAGGUAAAGGUAUCUCCUCUGCAGAAUUCCAUCUGUUUUAUAAUCUUAAAAUAGUAGAGGGAAAGACUUGGGCAAUCAGAGAUUACCUAGAUUGAAAUUCUGGGCUGAGCACCCUUCUUUCUUAAAGCAGGGGCUGGAAACAUUAUGAAGAAAGGUCACCUAGACCAAUCAUGGUUGCUCAGUAAUAUGAAAGAGUUUGUAAGAGUAGGGUGGCUUCAUUUCCUCUCAGAGAAGGAAGACCAUAGAUUAUGGGAUGAUGAGGAGGGCAGAGGACAAUAGGUGGGAGAGGCCAGUUAGACUAUAGUGCAAAGUACGUACCUACGUAAAACUCUACGGGCCUCUAGGAGAUUACAUAUGGCAUUACCACAUUUUCAAUAUUUUUGCCCUCAAGGAGCAGAGAUGAUUAGAAAUAAAACAUUGGUAACUUUUAAACUAUGCAUAUCAUUCAAGCCCCAAAUGUUAUAGGACUAGGAGCUGCUAUGGUGCUUAUAUGGGGAGAGAGAGAGAAAAAAGGAUGGUUUUUCAGUUGCUUGUAUACAAGAAUAUAUACUUAAGAGGCCAUAUUGAAGAAGGAAAAACUUAGAGUGCUUAAAGUUUCAAAUUUAAUUUAAAUAAAUGGAAAAAAAAAGAGUCGAUGGUAAUUUCAAGGGGCAUUUGAUUCUCCCGAAGAUGCCUUUAGAUUCAGUACAUAAAUUCUUCUUCAUAUGUAGAUUUGUAUUAAAUCCUGUUUCAAGGAUUUCCUUAGUGAAAGAGGCUCCUUUAAAUGUGUGGACUAUAACAUUUUUGACUAUUUGGGUUGUGUUCACCCAAAUAUCAGCAAUUAUUUGUAAAGGAAAUGAUCCAGGGUUAUUUUGAUGGGCUACCCUUGUCUGCAGUGUUUGGAAAUGUUAAUCUUUAUAAAAUGCAUCUAUCAUCCUCUUUUUCUUGGGUGAAUUUACCUAUUGCCAGAUUCAAUCAUUUAAAAAAAAAAAAAAGAAGAGAAGAGAAAACAGAAAAUGUGGUACCUGCUCAAAAGGAACCUUAAUCUGUGGGAUUCAGUCCCAGACUAAGUUCUUGAUUUUACUGUUUGAGGAAAAACAACCAAAAAAAGGCUCCUAGUACUUCACAAUUCAUAGAUGAACACAAAGCACUAAGGCAACAGGGUUAGUUGUUUGGAAUGAAAAUUAAAGAACUAAAAAAACAUUUCCUCAUGAGGUUCUUUGCUCUUGAUGUAGAAAUUCCUCCCUUCCUCCACUUUGUUUUAAAAGUUCAGGAUUAUCUGUAACCACAGAUAGUUUUAUCCUCUUCCACUGGGUAUAGAAUGUUUUGUUUUUUAUAAUAUGAAUCCAUUUGGAAGGCAGCUUAUUUAAGAUUAGUUUAGUGAAAUACUGUACCUGAAGUAUCCUUUAUCUUCCCAAAAACCAAAACCCUACUUUUCAAAUAUAUGCCCCCUCUUUCAUGAAGAGGGCACUGAUUAUUGCAGGAUAGGAGAAGUUCUGGAGGAGAAAACAUGCACUAGGAACCUAUAUCAGCAAAAUAUAUAAAAAUGGUACACUACCUCUUACCUACUAAUUGAUUCACUGAAUGGCUAUGACCCCUGGGGUAUCAUUCUACCGAUAAUUCUGAGGGCACCUUCUGAUUUAUUUUUUUUUUAAAGAGAUGGGGAAGACUGACUAUUUCGGACUACAAGACUGAGUAGAAACUCUAGGGACAUUUUGAACUAACUGCUUUAAUCUUAUCAACUGGAUUUUUUUUUUUUUUAAUUUGGGAAGCUAAGGGUUAAAUCAUGGCCUGAAAUUACCUCAUAAAUCAGCUCUACAGGAGAGAAUGGUUUCUAUAUUCAUCACUGUGAUUCAGUAAAGGUUCUGUUUUAAAUGGGCCAUCAUCAAAUGCCACACAAAUGUUUAAAGAGAACUUUUUGCAUAUUUUUGUUUAAAGCCUAUGCUGAGUAAUUCCAUGGUCCCUUCUCUUCUAGGUCUUAUAUUUUCUUAAUUUGCCAAAUCUUUUUUUUAGUCCCAGGAGCUAAAUGAUUCUUCAAAAUAUCAAUAUAAUUUCAGAAAUAUAAUUUAUUACUUAACUUAGAUUCCCUCUAUUUGGCAGUAAGCAAAAAUAUAGAGAGGAUAUGUUAUAAUGACGUUUUUCAUCAUUGAUUAAAUAGAGACAUUUCCUUCUUUGCAAACGCUGAGACAAUUUUC